UGGGGAAUCUUAGACAAUGGGGGCAACCCUGAUCUAGCCAUGCCGCGUGAGUGAUGAAGGCCUUAGGGUUGUAAAGCUCUUUCAGCUGGGAAGAUAAUGACGGUACCAGCAGAAGAAGCCCCGGCUAACUCCGUGCCAGCAGCCGCGGUAAUACGGAGGGGGCUAGCGUUGUUCGGAAUUACUGGGCGUAAAGCGCACGUAGGCGGACUGGAAAGUUGGGGGUGAAAUCCCGGGGCUCAACCUCGGAACUGCCUUCAAAACUAUCAGUCUGGAGUUCGAGAGAGGUGAGUGGAAUUCCGAGUGUAGAGGUGAAAUUCGUAGAUAUUCGGAGGAACACCAGUGGCGAAGGCGGCUCACUGGCUCGAUACUGACGCUGAGGUGCGAAAGCGUGGGGAGCAAA
RNAcentral lists this ribosomal RNA (400 nucleotides) under uncultured bacterium. RNAcentral's name for it is "bacterial SSU rRNA". It matches the Rfam family "Bacterial small subunit ribosomal RNA", at positions 355 to 772 of the family's 1533-position model. The record is from RNAcentral.